This 253-nucleotide ribosomal RNA is filed under the name uncultured bacterium. RNAcentral's name for it is "partial 16S ribosomal RNA". It matches the Rfam family "Bacterial small subunit ribosomal RNA", at positions 524 to 776 of the family's 1533-position model. The record is from RNAcentral.
UACAGAGGUCUCAAGCGUUACUCGGAAUUAUUGGGCGUAAAGGGCGCGUAGGCGAUCUGACAAGUCUGGUGUGAAAGCCCACAUGUUAACUGUGGAAGUGCAUUAGAAACUGUUGGAUUUGAGUUCAGGAGAGGAAGGCAGAAUUCCCGGUGUAGCGGUGAAAUGCGUAGAGAUCGGGAGGAAUACCAGUGGCGAAGGCGGCCUUCUGGACUGACACUGACGCUGAGGCGCGAAAGCCAGGGGAGCAAACGGG